AGUGAACGCUGGCGGUAGGCAUAACACAUGCAAGUCGAACGGCAGCACAGUAAGAGCUUGCUCUUACGGGUGGCGAGUGGCGGACGGGUGAGGAAUACAUCGGAAUCUACUUUUUCGUGGGGGAUAACGUAGGGAAACUUACGCUAAUACCGCAUACGACCUACGGGUGAAAGCAGGGGAUCUUCGGACCUUGCGCGAUUGAAUGAGCCGAUGUCGGAUUAGCUAGUUGGCGGGGUAAAGGCCCACCAAGGCGACGAUCCGUAGCUGGUCUGAGAGGAUGAUCAGCCACACUGGAACUGAGACACGGUCCAGACUCCUACGGGAGGCAGCAGUGGGGAAUAUUGGACAAUGGGCGCAAGCCUGAUCCAGCCAUACCGCGUGGGUGAAGAAGGCCUUCGGGUUGUAAAGCCCUUUUGUUGGGAAAGAAAAGAAGCAGGUUAAUACCCCGCUGUUCUGACGGUACCCAAAGAAUAAGCACCGGCUAACUUCGUGC
This 493-nucleotide ribosomal RNA is filed under the name uncultured bacterium. RNAcentral describes it as "partial 16S ribosomal RNA". It matches the Rfam family "Bacterial small subunit ribosomal RNA", at positions 29 to 508 of the family's 1533-position model. The record is from RNAcentral.